Long non-coding RNA from Syngnathus acus (greater pipefish), 1403 nucleotides. RefSeq lists it as uncharacterized. NCBI's taxonomy places the organism in Eukaryota, Metazoa, Chordata, Actinopteri, Syngnathiformes, Syngnathidae. The transcript has 5 exons. The record is from RefSeq and is a predicted model, not a curated record.
CGAAUUCGUCCGACAUCCGAAGCAAAAAAAAUCGCGAAUUUUUUGUACGAAUACCGAUUUGUUCGAGAACCGGGACGUUCGAAAACCGAGGCUCCACUGUAGUUGGAGUGAGCGUGUUUUUCCAGGGUUGGGGGGUUAUUUGCAGGGUACAAAAAAGUUACAAAACCAUCCACUCCGGAUGAGCUUUGGGAUGAUGGCAUGGCAAAGAUGUAAUUUCCCUUUUUUACCCAUGGAUUUGUGAUUCCAGAUUUAGCUCAAGGAGUGGCACGUGAAAAAGUAGGUGUUUAUCUUCUGAUAUCAUUAAAAUGUGCACCUAACUUUGUUUUGCGCUCAACAGGCCUUGGAACUCUAAGGCAAAUCACUUCAAAAGUUAAAAUUGUGUUGUAUCAUGUUAUUAACAGCCGUUAAUGGGUGAUUUGUCAAAUCAGACGUCUUUUUCCCUUUCCCCUUUUCAGACUCCAAGCCUGGAGAUAAGAGGAGCAUCUGUAUUAAAAACUGACCGGACUCCACAAGCUAGGAGGUGAUUGUGAAACGCCCAUGACAGGGAGAAAGCUUCUGAAGGUCAUCGUGGAGCCCCCUCUGGCAAUCCCUGGGCUGAGGAGCCUCAACUCUCGUUCAGAAUGUGACGCGGAGAGUGGACGGUGCCCAUGACUGAUCUAGAGACCUUUGACAUGAUGUCCAAGGAAAUAAAUGACAAACAGGAUGCAAGACUGAAUGACAGAACGAUUAAGCUUAGAAUUGACUCUACACAAAUGACAACGUUCAAUAUGCGUGCUCGUGUGACUCGUGCAAAAUGCCCUCAGGAAGACUGCUGAUAUCCCUGAGUAAUCCCAAGGUCUACAAAGGGUGGUGCCUGAUGUACAUCGAGUUCAUCUUUGUAGAAGCUGUUGGCGACAUGCACAGAGGCCACGGAUGAUGAAACAAGGACCGCAAUGGCUUUAAAAUUAAAAUGGGCUCCAGAGCUGAGUAGCAAAGAGAGUGAUGUUUAUAUUGUUGUGUUUUGCCAAGCUGGUUGUUUUGUUUGAUAUGUCCUACAUAAAAUAAGUAUACAUUUAUAUUGUAACGUAGUAGUUUUGUUCUAUUAAAUAGUCCCCAUUUUUUAAUACUGUAUGUAUAGUUUUACUUUUUUAAACAUAUGAUUUAAAAACAUUGCACGUUUAUAUUUGUGAUGGUUGGAUGAUGUUUGAAAAAAUGUAUAUAUUUAGGUUCAAUUGUCGUUUUGGUUAAUUUUAACAUCAAAAGGUGUAUUUAUAUCUGCAGGUAACAUACCGUAUUUUUCGGACUAAAAGUCACUCCGGAGUAUAAAUCGCACCAGCCAUAAAAUAUACAAUAUAAAGUGAAAAAAAACAUAAGUUGCACCGGAUUAUUAGUCGCACUUUUGGGGCAAAUUUAUUUGUCAAAAU